GACGAACGCUGGCGGCGUGCUUAACACAUGCAAGUCGAACGAUGAAGCCUAGCUUGCUAGGUGGAUUAGUGGCGAACGGGUGAGUAAUACGUGAGUAACCUACCUUUAACUCUGGGAUAAGCCUGGGAAACUGGGUCUAAUACCGGAUACGACCAAUCUCCGCCUGGGGUGUUGGCGGAAAGCGUUAUGUAGUGGUUAUAGAUGGGCUCACGGCCUAUCAGCUUGUUGGUGAGGUAACGGCUCACCAAGGCGACGACGGGUAGCCGGCCUGAGAGGGUGACCGGCCACACUGGGACUGAGACACGGCCCAGACUCCUACGGGAGGCAGCAGUGGGGAAUAUUGCACAGUGGGCGCAAGCCUGAUGCAGCGACGCCGCGUGAGGGAUGACGGCCUUCGGGUUGUAAACCUCUGUUAGCAGGGAAGAAGAGAAAUUGACGGUACCUGCAGAGAAAGCGCCGGCUAACUACGUG
RNAcentral lists this ribosomal RNA (471 nucleotides) under uncultured bacterium. Its description in RNAcentral is "partial 16S ribosomal RNA". It matches the Rfam family "Bacterial small subunit ribosomal RNA", at positions 28 to 507 of the family's 1533-position model. The record is from RNAcentral.